UCCCGAGCGUUGUUCGGAUUCAUUGGGCGUAAAGGGUGUGUAGGCGGCGGGGCAAGUCUGAUGUGAAAUCCUGGGGCUCAACCCUGGAACUGCAUUGGAUACUGCCUUGCUAGAGAACUGGAGAGGAGCGCGGAAUUCUCGGUGUAGCGGUGAAAUGCGUAGAGAUCAGGAGGAACACCUGUGGUGUAGACAGCUUACUGGACGGUGACUGACGCUGAGGCACGAAAGCGUGGGUAGCAAACAGG
This 245-nucleotide ribosomal RNA is filed under the name uncultured bacterium. Its description in RNAcentral is "partial 16S ribosomal RNA". It matches the Rfam family "Bacterial small subunit ribosomal RNA", at positions 532 to 776 of the family's 1533-position model. The record is from RNAcentral.